GAUGAACGCUGGCGGCGUGCCUAAUACAUGCCAGUCGAGCGAACAGACGAGGAGCUUGCUCCUCUGACGUUAGCGGCGGACGGGUGAGUAACACGUGGAUAACCUACCUAUAAGACUGGGAUAACUUCGGGAAACCGGAGCUAAUACCGGAUAAUAUAUUGAACCGCAUGGUUCAAUAGUGAAAGACGGUUUUGCUGUCACUUAUAGAUGGAUCCGCGCCGCAUUAGCUAGUUGGUAAGGUAACGGCUUACCAAGGCAACGAUGCGUAGCCGACCUGAGAGGGUGAUCGGCCACACUGGAACUGAGAAACGGUCCAGACUCCUACGGGAGGCAGCAGUAGGGAAUCUUCCGCAAUGGGCGAAAGCCUGACGGAGCAACGCCGCGUGAGUGAUGAAGGUCUUCGGAUCGUAAAACUCUGUUAUUAGGGAAGAACAAAUGUGUAAGUAACUAUGCACGUCUUGACGGUACCUAAUCAGAAAGCCACGGCUAACUACGUG
RNAcentral lists this ribosomal RNA (497 nucleotides) under uncultured bacterium. RNAcentral describes it as "partial 16S ribosomal RNA". It matches the Rfam family "Bacterial small subunit ribosomal RNA", at positions 28 to 507 of the family's 1533-position model. The record is from RNAcentral.